GCAGCCAGGUAUUACAAGGGGGCCGAGCGUUNUUGGGAUUACUGGGAGUAAAGCGUACGUAGGCGGCCAGCAAGUUGGAAGUGAAAUCCCAGGGCUCAACCCUGGAAUUCUUUCAAAANUGUUUGGUAGAAUCUCGGAGAGGGAUAGCGGGAUUUCCAGUGUAGAGGUGAAAUUAGUAGAUAUUGGAAGGAACACCAGUGGCGUAGGCGGCUAUCUGGGACGAGUAUUGACGCUAAGGCACGAAAAGUGUGGGGAGCAAACAGGAUUAGAUACCCUGGUAGUCCCACACCGUAAACGAUGUGUGCUAGUUGUCGGGCAGUAUACUGUUCGGUGACGCAGCUAACGCAUUAAGCACACCGCCUGGGGAGUACGGCCGCAAGGUUAAAACUCAAAGGAAUUGACGGGGACCCGCACAAGCGGUGGAGCAUGUGGUUUAAUUUGACGCAACGCGGAGAACCUUACCAGCCCUUGACAUCCUGGUCGCGGGGAGUGGAGACACACCCUUUCAGUUCGGCUGGACCAGUGACAGGUGGUGCACGGCUGUCGUCAGCUCGUGUCGUGAGAUGUUAGGUUAAGUCCUGCAACGAGCGCAACCCCUAUUGUCUGUUGCCAUCAUUAAGUUGGGCACUCUGACAAGACUGCCGGUGAUAAGCCGGAGGAAGGCGGGGAUGACGUCAAGUCAUCAUGCCCCUUAUGGGCUGGGCUACACACGUGCUACAAUGGCGGUGACAAUGGGCAGCGACUUCGCAAGGAGGAGCAAAUCCCUAAAAACCGUCUCAGUUCGGAUUGUACUCUGCAACUCGAGUGCAUGAAGUUGGAAUCGCUAGUAAUCGUGGAUCAGCAUGCCACGGUGAAUACGUUCCCGGGUCUUGUACACACCGCCCGUCAAGUGAUGGGAAUUGGUUUCACCUGAAGCCGGUGCGCUAACCUUUGGGAAGCAGCCGACCAANGGGUGGGGAUCAAGCAGAAAAGGCGAAUCAAGGUCCAGGUUAAAANNNAC
This 1000-nucleotide ribosomal RNA is filed under the name uncultured organism. Its description in RNAcentral is "bacterial SSU rRNA". It matches the Rfam family "Bacterial small subunit ribosomal RNA", at positions 512 to 1533 of the family's 1533-position model. The record is from RNAcentral.